UGGAAACGAAUCCGGCAAAUUCACACACGUGUCGACACGUUAUCCCAGGGUGCCUGCUUCUGGUUUCAAGGAGUCAGGUUGGGAUGAUCGGACACGUGGAGGACUAACC
This 109-nucleotide small RNA is filed under the name Marinobacter gudaonensis. RNAcentral's name for it is "t44 RNA". It matches the Rfam family "t44 RNA". Rfam says of the family: This family consists of a number of bacterial RNA genes of between 135 and 170 bases in length. The record is from RNAcentral. Lineage: Bacteria; Pseudomonadati; Pseudomonadota; Gammaproteobacteria; Pseudomonadales; Marinobacteraceae.